RNAcentral lists this ribosomal RNA (372 nucleotides) under uncultured bacterium. RNAcentral describes it as "bacterial SSU rRNA". It matches the Rfam family "Bacterial small subunit ribosomal RNA", at positions 524 to 898 of the family's 1533-position model. The record is from RNAcentral.
UACGUAGGUGGCAAGCGUUGUCCGGAUUUAUUGGGUUUAAAGGGUGCGUAGGCGGUCUAUUAAGUCAGCGGUGAAAUACUCCAGCUUAACUGGAGGGGUGCCAUUGAUACUGAUGGACUUGAGUCAAGUCGAGGUAGGCGGAAUUGACGGUGUAGCGGUGAAAUGCUUAGAUAUCGUCAAGAACACCAAUAGUGAAGACAGCUUACUGGGCUUAAACUGACGCUGAGGCACGAAAGUGUGGGGAUCAAACAGGAUUAGAUACCCUGGUAGUCCACACUGUAAACGUUGAUUACUCGCUGUUGGCGAUACACAGCCAGCGGCCAAGCGCAAGCGAUAAGUAAUCCACCUGGGGAGUACGCCGGCAACGGUGAA